Long non-coding RNA from Gigantopelta aegis, 656 nucleotides. RefSeq lists it as uncharacterized. The transcript has 4 exons. Lineage: Eukaryota; Metazoa; Mollusca; Gastropoda; Neomphalida; Peltospiridae. The record is from RefSeq and is a predicted model, not a curated record.
GAUUACAGCAGAAUCACCGACAAUGAUCUGGAACCGAUGGACAGAGUAUUUCUUCUCGCUUCUCGGGCUGAUGGUUGGAUAUGGCAAUGUUUGGAGAUUCCCCUACAUAUGUUACAAGAGUGGUGGCGGUGCAUUCCUGCUUCCUUACUUGAUUUGGAUGGUAUUUCUCGCAACACCUCUGGUUUUCUUGGAAGUAUCCUACCCACAAUUCACCAAUCUUGGUCCCGCCAAAGUGUGGAAUCUGUGUCCUUUGUUUAAAGAGCGGAACAUAGGCAGUGGUAAAGCGCUCGCCUGAUGCACGGUCGGUCUUGAAUCGAUACCCGUUCGUGGACCCAUUGGCCACGGAAUGGGCUACGCGUGGUUCCUACUUGCUCUGGGCGGCACCACGUACUACAACAUCCUCGUCUGUUGGACCCUCUACUACCUCUACUCAUCCUUCAGCGCCGUCCUGCCCUGGACCACGUGCUCCAACUCCUGGAAUACACCUUCCUGUGUAGCCAGGACUCUUGGCAGAAACACCACAUCCACGGGUAACGGAUCACUGCCCAGUAACCCACUUAGUAACAUGUCCACGAAUAUCAGUGUAGUGAACGUCAGUUCGAGUUGGGUCACAAUGAACGAGUCAUCACCAUUGGUGAAGACUAACACAGCUACUG